Molecule: unclassified non-coding RNA, 131 nt
Filed under: uncultured Ascomycota
Lineage: Eukaryota; Fungi; Ascomycota
Description: sequence contains ITS1
Source: RNAcentral
ACGAUUUUACAUCUUCACAACCCUACCGUGGACUUUUAGAACGUUGCCUCGGCGGGCUCGCCCGCCGACGGCCCCAACCAAAACUCUUAUUUUUGCACCGUACUCUGAGUGGCGCAGACAAAAUUUAGUCA